GAAGAAGAAGAAGAACAAAGAAUGGUUCUCUUCUUCUUCUUUCUCUUCUCGAGAAUUGAAGGAAGAGAUACGAAUGUGUGUGUGUGUAUAUAUAUAGUAUAUACAAGAAGACUACCCGAGCAAGGACAGGAGAAAAGUUGAAGAGGUUCGAAUCCUGGGUUUGGGGGGUCAUUACCAAGGUUCCGAAUCAGGUUUGCGGAAUCUUCCAUGCUUAGAUUUUGGAACCAUUCAAUAUCUUAUUGCUCAGCUAUUUAGUGGAUGGAUUAUCUAAUAUCCAAGUCGAGCUGUCGUCGGGCCACAAGAAAGAGUUUGUGCAAACUCGUCGAGCGAGAAAUUGACGGUUCAAAAUUUCAGCCAAUGACAAACUUAUGCCGUCAAGGAGUAGAAAACCUUGUCCUUCAGAUGGAACAAUCUUCUUUUGGUUUGAUCCCACUUAUAUAAUGAACUUAGCAUUCAUAACUAUCUAUCAUUCAGUAAGUGCAAUUUUAGAGAGAGAGAGAG
RNAcentral lists this long non-coding RNA (501 nucleotides) under Musa acuminata (dwarf banana). RNAcentral's name for it is "long non-coding RNA (MACU_LNC001491)". The record is from RNAcentral. Lineage: Eukaryota; Viridiplantae; Streptophyta; Magnoliopsida; Zingiberales; Musaceae.